RNAcentral lists this ribosomal RNA (495 nucleotides) under uncultured bacterium. RNAcentral describes it as "partial 16S ribosomal RNA". It matches the Rfam family "Bacterial small subunit ribosomal RNA", at positions 28 to 505 of the family's 1533-position model. The record is from RNAcentral.
GAUGAACGCUGGCGGCGUGCCUAAUACAUGCAAGUCGAGCGAACAGACGAGGAGCUUGCUCCUCUGACGUUAGCGGCGGACGGGUGAGUAACACGUGGAUAACCUACCUAUAAGACUGGGAUAACUUCGGGAAACCGGAGCUAAUACCGGAUAAUAUAUUGAACCGCAUGGUUCAAUAGUGAAAGACGGUUUUGCUGUCACUUAUAGAUGGAUCCGCGCCGCAUUAGCUAGUUGGUAAGGUAACGGCUUACCAAGGCAACGAUGCGUAGCCGACCUGAGAGGGUGAUCGGCACCACUGGACCUGAGACACGGUCCAGACUCCUACGGGAGGCAGCAGUAGGGAAUCUUCCGCAAGGGGCGAAAGCCUGACGGAGCAACGCCGCGUGAGUGAUGAAGGUCUUCGGAUCGUAAAACUCUGUUAUUAGGGAAAAACAAAUGUGUAAGUAACUAUGCACGUCUUGACGGUACCUAAGCAGAAAGCCACGGCUAACUACG